AUGGAGUAGAAUUGCUAAGGCCAGAGCAAACUAGAUUUGCUACUGCUUUCAUUACAUUGGGAAGGAUUCAUCAGCAGAAGGCCAAUAUUAGAAAAAUGUAUACUUUAGAGAACUGGAAAACUAGUAAAUGAGCUAAAGGGGUAAAAGGCAAAAAGUGUUAAUGAAUAGUUUUGAGUCCUGUCUUCUAGAAUCAUGUUGUAUAUGCUCUUAAGGUUUCUGGUCCUCUUGUUCGUGUGCUUUGACUCGUUGAUAAUGAAAAAAAAACCAGCUACGGGAUAUAUUUAUAAAGCUAUGGAUAGGUUUAAAGAAACCAUUGCCAACUCACUCAAUGACAAUGAAGAGAAAUACAAUAAUAUUUUUGAGAUUAUUGAUGCAAGAUGGUCAGUUCAAUUGCAUCGUCCUUUGCGUGCUGCCGGAUACAUAUUGAAUGCUAAAUUUUUUUAUCCAAGCAAGAUGAGAAUUAAGCAUGAUGAAGAAGUGAAUUUAAGCUUGCUUUUGUGCAUUCAUAAAACGGAACAAGAUUCAAUAAAAGUUGAUAUGAUUAUUGAUGAAAUUGAGAAGUACAAGGCAGCUACGGGGACGUUUAAUUAUCCUUCUGCUAUUAGAGGUAUUAGAGGAAGAACAACAAAAUCUCCAGGUUAUUAAUUUAUAUUUUUAUUAAUUUUUCAUCUUACUCAUUUAUUAAAUUAUAUUAUGAAUUUGAGUUUGACAAUCAUUGAUUCUAUAUUUUAAUAGCUACUUAGUGGAUGUUAUGGAAAGUCAAUCAUUA
Molecule: unclassified non-coding RNA, 769 nt
Filed under: Hevea brasiliensis (rubber tree)
Lineage: Eukaryota; Viridiplantae; Streptophyta; Magnoliopsida; Malpighiales; Euphorbiaceae
Source: RNAcentral